This 290-nucleotide unclassified non-coding RNA is filed under the name plant metagenome. RNAcentral's name for it is "partial contains small subunit ribosomal RNA, internal transcribed spacer 1, and 5.8S ribosomal RNA". The stretch from base 1 to 55 matches the Rfam family "Eukaryotic small subunit ribosomal RNA", at positions 1778 to 1831 of the family's 1831-position model. The record is from RNAcentral.
GGAAGUAAAAAGUCGUAACAAGGUUUUCGUAGGUGAACCUGUGAAAGGAUCAUUAUUGUACAAAAUGUGAGGGGCAUGCAAGGGCUGUUGCUGCCCCAAAAAAGUCGUGCACGCCUGAGUGUGUCCUCUUGCAUAAUAAUCCAUCUCACCCUUGUGCGUCACUGCAUGGGCACCCUUUGAGAUCAUCUCGGAGGGGGGCUUGUGUUUUCACACAAAACCCCCUUUAAAAUUUUAGAAUGAUCACAUUUAUGCAAUCAAUACAACUUUCAACAACGGAUCUCUUGGCUCUC